CCCUGAGACAAAGACUGUGCCUGUGGCAGGCAUCAGAUCCCCUGCAACUGUAGUUAGAGAUGAUUGUAAGCCACAUGUGGAUGGCAGGAUUCAAACCUGGGUCCUCUGAGAAGAGCAGUCAGUGCUCUUAACCACUGAAUCAUCUCUCCAGCCCCUGCUUCUGAUACCACUUUUGACCUUGCAGACAAUUCCACAAUAUAGGUGUGAGUAUUACCCCAAUCCCAAAGCUAUGGUGGGAGAGGAUCUUUGGUGGUUACUCACCGGUAUAGGAGCACCAGACUGAUUGCCAGGAGGACCCAGGUUUCCAGGGAGAGAACUGAAGUCAGGUCCAUCGUGGCUUGCCUGUCAGCAGUGUACCCCCCUGUGUUCUCCCUCCAGCUGUGUGUGCUACCCUCUGUAGGGCCUCUCUUCUGCCCAACGGUGCUCAAGUGUGCACAGUCUGUGGUGUUUAUACCCUGGGAAGAUGGUGGGGCCAGGGCACCAGCCACCUGGACUUUGGUACGCUCUUCAUUUUGGCAGAUCAUAAAGUUUGUGCACAACCUGUUUUGACCUCAUGUGUGUUAAUAUUUUGUGCAGAUUCAAUAAAUAAUGUUGUCAUUUCAGGAAAAUGACAGGUUCUUCCUUUUUAUCAAAAGUUCAAGCAAAUUCAUUGACAUAAAAUGCUCUCUCACAAAGGGGGUCUACAUUCAUAAAUAAAUAAACUGAAGCAAACAUUGUCUAAUCUGCAUACAGAUCUUUACAAAAUGCCUUUGUCCCUCUGUGGAAAACAUUUUGUCAUUUUUGACAACUUAACCCAGCAAAACAAUGUGGUGAUAUUUUAUUUGUGCUGAAAUGUGAUUUUGUUUGUAUGUU
Molecule: non-coding RNA, 852 nt
Organism: Peromyscus maniculatus bairdii (prairie deer mouse)
Lineage: Eukaryota; Metazoa; Chordata; Mammalia; Rodentia; Cricetidae
Source: RefSeq, a predicted model, not a curated record